GACGAACGCUGGCGGCGUGCCUAAUACAUGCAAGUCGAGCGAAGCGCCGGAUGGUUGAGUAACUCGUGGGUAACCUGCCCUUAAGUCUGGGAUACCAUCUGCAUACAGCUGCUAAUACCGGAUACUACUGGAUGGGUCUGCGAUGAAUUAGCUAGUUGGUAAGGUAACGGCUUACCAAGGCGAUGAUGCGUAUCCGAGUUGAGAGGCUGAUCGGCCACAUUGGGACUGAGACACGGCCCAAACGCCUACGGGAGGCAGCAGUAGGGAAUCUUGCACAAUGGACGAAAGUCUGAUGGAGCAACGCCGCGUGAGUGAAGAAGGUUUUCGGAUUGUAAAGCUCUGUUGUUGGUGAAGCGGUAAUCAACCAGAAAGUAACGGCUAACUACGUGCCAGCAGCCGCGGUAAUUC
This 408-nucleotide ribosomal RNA is filed under the name uncultured bacterium. RNAcentral's name for it is "partial 16S ribosomal RNA". It matches the Rfam family "Bacterial small subunit ribosomal RNA", at positions 28 to 526 of the family's 1533-position model. The record is from RNAcentral.